This 3093-nucleotide ribosomal RNA is filed under the name Triticum aestivum (bread wheat). RNAcentral's name for it is "partial small subunit ribosomal RNA". Lineage: Eukaryota; Viridiplantae; Streptophyta; Magnoliopsida; Poales; Poaceae. The record is from RNAcentral.
ACCCUCGACCCCGAGGAGAUUUGCAGCAUAGAUUAAGCUUAGCGCCCUGGGUUCGCGCGAGCGAAAGCAGACGAGGCGGAUCAGGAACACCGCAGUCUCUCGCUCUCGCCGCAACCGGACACGCCAUUUUCUUUCUUUUCCUCCGCUCUCCUCUCCUUUUCCACUGGCUGUUUGUUGUUUCAUUGCACACCGACCAGUACGCCCCCCCGCGCCGCAUACAUACAAGCCGCACAACACCACUCUAGCAUCAACUCCCAGCAGUAGCCUUCACUUCAGUAACCCCCACAGGCCUCCGGUGAUUCGGUCCGGGGACACCCGACCCGAGCAAGCUCGCCGUGGUGAGUGAGCAGCGGCAUUGCUCCCUCGGUUCCGUUCAUCCGUUGGGGGAGCGGCUUUCGGUCCAGGCCGAGCCGGAUUCGUGCGUGAUCCCCGGCAGGCGAGAUUGGCGGCGGCGUUCCCCUCUUGCCGCCCGCCUGGCGCUCGAUUCGGUCCCAGAUUUGGGGGCUUCCCUGUUCCGAGUCCGGGAUUCCGUCGAACCCAGCGGCAAAUCGGUUCCAGAUUUGAGGAGCUUUCCUUGCGCGGCGACGCCACCUUCCAUACCAGGCCCCAUAAGAGAAGCGGAGCUCAGGAGCGGAUAAAUUCGAUCCUGCUGCUUCGCGUUCAGGGCCCUCUCCGGCUUGCUAUGAGACAAUGAGGGAAGAGAGCAACAAGAAGACCAAGGUCUCCUGGUCCAAAUCCCUCGUCAGGAAGUGGUUCAACAUCAAGGGCAAGGCGCAGGAUUUCCACGCGGACUACGACGCCACCACCCAAGGACGGGAUGGUGGUGAUGAACGGAGGACCAGCUGCUCGCAGAGGGACGCAGGCGCUGCCAAGAAAAGCAGAACUGACCGGUCGUUGAAGCGGAAUGUCGAUCGCGCUCGUAGAUCAAGGAAUGAGUUUGAUGUGUCACGCCUGACUGAAGCUCAGGAUUACAGAAUCUUUGCCUCGACUUGGAAUGUUGGUGGUAAAUGCCCAUCAAGGGGGUUGGAUUUAGAUGACUGGCUCCAUUCUUCACCCCCUGCUGAUAUCUAUGUGCUCGGAUUUCAAGAAAUUGUUCCUUUGAAUGCUGGUAAUGUUCUUGGUACCGAAGACAAUGUUCCAGCAAAGAAGUGGGUAUCACUUAUUAGGAGGACACUGAACAAAAACCCUGGGCCUAGCAGUCAUGGUGGCUAUCGCACGCCAUCCCCUGUCCCUGAUCCGGUUGUGGAACUAGAUGCUGAUUUUGAGGGAUCAUUGAGAAGACAGGAUAGCUCAUCGUUUUUCCACCGUCGAUCAUUCCAGAACCUUAGUCGGAGUUUAAGGGUUUCAGGAAACGAUAUGUUCUCACAACCAAGAUUGGACCGUAGGUUUAGUGUGUGUGGCCCAGUUAACAUUGGAGGCAGACCAAGUGAUUUUGAUGGAAAUUUCCAGUGUAUCGGAUCACCAGGCGAUGAAUAUAUGGACGAGGAUAUAAGUAAUGGAGCAUAUUUUUCACCAUUCCCAUAUGGCUAUGGUACUUCAACACCUAUGGAAGAAGAUGAUGAGCAGCCAAAUACUUCUAGGUAUUGUUUGGUUGCCAGCAAACAGAUGGUUGGCAUAUUUCUCACAGUUUGGGUACGCAGUGAAAUAAGAAAUGAUAUUAGAAACCUGAAAGUUUCCUGCGUAGGUAGAGGACUAAUGGGUUAUCUUGGAAACAAGGGUUCUAUAUCAAUAAGCAUGUCUUUGCAUCAUACAACCUUCUGUUUUGUCUGUUGUCAUUUGACCUCUGGGGAAAAGGAGGGAGAUGAAUUGCGCAGAAAUUCUGAUGUCAUGGAGAUCUUAAGGAAGACAAGGUUUCCUCGUGUCCGCGGAUGUGGCGAUGUUAAGUCACCGGAGACAAUUCUUGAGCACGACCGUAUCUUAUGGCUUGGUGAUUUGAAUUACCGGAUUUCUCUUCCAUACUCGUCAGCAAAAGUUCUGGUUGAAACACAUAACUGGAGGCAACUGUUGGAGAGAGAUCAGCUUCGUAUAGAGCGGAGAUGCGGACAUGUUUUCCUAGGAUGGAAAGAAGGAAGGAUUUAUUUUCCUCCAACAUAUAAAUACUCUUUCAACUCAGACCGGUAUUCUGGUUAUGGUGUGCGUCCCAAGGAAAAGAGGCGAACGCCAGCUUGGUGUGAUCGUAUUUUGUGGCAUGGUACCGGCCUCAUUCAGUUAUCAUAUGUCCGAGGAGAAUCACGCUUCUCCGACCACAGACCAGUGUACAGUAUUUUUAUGGCGGAGGUUGAAAUUCUCCACCAGAGGAGAAGAAACAUGGGCUAUUUCAGUUCUAGAGUUGAGGUGGAAGAACUGUUGCCGUAUGCUCACAGCCAUGGAAACAUAAAGUUCUACUAAUUCAGGCGAUUCCAUGCUACAAGCUGAUCGGUCCUCACCGAUGAAUAACUUGGUUGCAAGAUCUGUUGGAUGACCAGAUGUGAAUGUGCAAUAUUUUUCCAUCUGUUUUUAACAUUUUAGUAACUGCCGAGAUGUAAAGCCUAGGAGAGAUGCGUGGGGAACAUAUAGCUGCAGAAGCUAACAUAGAGGAUAGCUGGGCAAUUUUGCAACUAACAAUUUGCCCGCGGUGGCGAUCGGCUUUGUUCAUCGGAAGAAUCGGCCAGCUCACAUCACUGACUAUACAACUCAACCAGCCAGUCAAUGUCGCCCCCUUUGUUUGGAGGCAUCAGCAAGCUCCAAUCAUCAACUUUUUCCUUCUUCUCCCCCUUUUCUCCUUUGAAAACCCUGUAAAUUAAUCAAGCUGGCGCCGGCCAGUGUAUGUAUGUAGGAUCGGCAUGAGGUGCUAGAAUCAUUGCAGUUCGGCGGAGGGAAUGAUACAUGGAUUGGACCAACGAUAUUAGUUGUUGUUAGUUUUUCCGGAUGAUGAUUCUUUUCUGGUGUGAGGGGGGAAUGAUAUGUGUUGAUGUGACUUGAGAGGCUUGCAAAGCUGUCAUCAUAUGCUUGCCUUUCUGGUGAUGUGGUUCAGAAGCUACAUGAUGCCUCCAUUUGCUUCACUCAUUGCUUGGCUUGUUGCUGUGGCCAUGAAAUGGAAAGUGAAGCCCAGUG